Molecule: ribosomal RNA, 515 nt
Filed under: Neisseria gonorrhoeae
Lineage: Bacteria; Pseudomonadati; Pseudomonadota; Betaproteobacteria; Neisseriales; Neisseriaceae
Description: bacterial SSU rRNA
Rfam family: Bacterial small subunit ribosomal RNA
Source: RNAcentral
AGAGAUUGAACAUAAGAGUUUGAUCCUGGCUCAGAUUGAACGCUGGCGGCAUGCUUUACACAUGCAAGUCGGACGGCAGCACAGGGAAGCUUGCUUCUCGGGUGGCGAGUGGCGAACGGGUGAGUAACAUAUCGGAACGUACCGGGUAGCGGGGGAUAACUGAUCGAAAGAUCAGCUAAUACCGCAUACGUCUUGAGAGGGAAAGCAGGGGACCUUCGGGCCUUGCGCUAUCCGAGCGGCCGAUAUCUGAUUAGCUGGUUGGCGGGGUAAAGGCCCACCAAGGCGACGAUCAGUAGCGGGUCUGAGAGGAUGAUCCGCCACACUGGGACUGAGACACGGCCCAGACUCCUACGGGAGGCAGCAGUGGGGAAUUUUGGACAAUGGGCGCAAGCCUGAUCCAGCCAUGCCGCGUGUCUGAAGAAGGCCUUCGGGUUGUAAAGGACUUUUGUCAGGGAAGAAAAGGCCGUUGCCAAUAUCGGCGGCCGAUGACGGUACCUGAAGAAUAAGCACCGGCU